AGUUGGAGAAAAAAUUGUUCGUAAAGUUUUCUAUGUGGAUGAAAAUCUCUGGAGGGAACUCAGUUGAGGAGGUGACAUGAACUCGUCGUCACGUGAAGGAACUACUUUCGCGUGGCCACUUUCCAAUCCGUAAAUGAUGCUCGAAUGAGGCAGCAGGCAUGGAAUAAGAGUUUGACAGCGAUAGUCCAUGAUGGGACUAUUCUGAGAUCCGGCUUCAGAUAAGCCUCUAUUUAUUUUUUCGCAAAUACCGUCCAGUCAUCGACCCACCAAGCGGAUUGCAUUGUUAACAAUGGCCAAAUUCUAUGAUCCACUUGUUCUAAUAACCCCAAUCUCUAUGGAGUGCUAAGGUGAAAUGCCAGGACAAUUCUUUCGUCAUGGGCGGAGUUGACUUUACAGUUAUCACGAUUCGUAAUGCAGCCUAGAGCUUCCGUUCAGUAACUGAACUUCAGUUCCAUCGAUUUUGCGAUGCUAUCAGCUUAUGGAUCGUGCUUAUUCUGUCAUAAGGCAGAGACCAGAAACAAUUGUUCAGGAGAAGAUUCAUCAGUCUUCGAGGCAUUCUACGUACUAUUUGGAGUGAUAACGCUAGAAACUUUGUUAGUGCCAUGAGCGAGCCGAGCGGCGAGAGCUUUUCUUGAUAGCUAGACAAUGACAAAUGGAUAGGCACAGGCGUCCAGACUCACAAAAUUUACAAGACUAAUAAAAUUAUGCAAAAAACAUUAAAACCGGGUAUAAUUACAAUUGGAAGAUUCAAAUAGUUUCAUGCCCAAGACGUCGCCAAAUUUAUGGCCAGUCAAGACUUCCUGUUCCCGGAUUGGCUAUAAGUGACAUCAAGGCGGCCCAUUGAUCAGCGUAAUGAAGAGGCCGACGAUUCCCUAAUUGCUGUUGCCAGAAGUCCCACUACUGCCUAUAAAGGCUCAGAUGCAGUCACGCCCCAGAAGAUGAUGAUGCGGGUGAGCUCUUGGCUUUGGAAGGUCCUAAAGCUAGCAGUCAUAAUGUCAGUUCAUAGAUUACAACACCGGUCCCUCCCAAGUGUUGAUUAUGGAUCUAUGGGAAUAAUAUACAUAUAUGAAAUCCGUAAAAAACUUGCAACCAUUUGUCUUUUCAUGCCCUCGAGUGUCUGCUCAGAUGUGGACGUGGACGUAGAUUUGUGGCUGGAAAAAGGAUGCGAGAUUUCCUCCUCGUCUGACAAACUGACGGACUUGGAUGACUUAUCUGUUCGUCUAACUUCAGUUCCGUCUGAUGGCUCUGGCCGAAUCGACUGAACUCCUAAGACGGCUGGUACUGAGGCAAAAACUU
This 1296-nucleotide long non-coding RNA is filed under the name Drosophila melanogaster (fruit fly). Its description in RNAcentral is "long non-coding RNA:CR41443 (Dmel_CR41443)". The record is from RNAcentral. Lineage: Eukaryota; Metazoa; Arthropoda; Insecta; Diptera; Drosophilidae.